CAAUUUGUAUAAUUCCAAGUUUAUUAAUAAUUACUUACUUGACAAUUUUUCCAUAACUAUCCAACAGUUGAUGAAUGUCAUUGUUGGUUAAAGAGAAUGGUAAAUUCGAAACGUAAACAGUGGAUUUGCUUGGUGCAAUAUGACCGCUCAUGUUUCCUCUCAAUUCUACCUAAUUUUAUAAAAACUAGAAACUGUUUCUCCAACCAGGAUUCUUGAUCUGUUUCUCCAACCUCGAGAAAUAUUAAGGUUAGGAUAAUCCAGAGGUUGGGAUGUAUAAAAAUAUGUACAGAAAUUAGAGAGUUUAUCGUCCGAAAGAGAGGCAGAGUUUUUGGAAGGAAAAUUGAUUUUCAAAGUUCCUUACUACGUCAUAUAUAUUUUUUCGUUUUGCAAGAACAGUAUUAAGCUAGGAGAUUGGUCACCGAUAUUUUGCAUAUUACUGUGGAUCUUGACGAAAUUAAUCUAUACCUUAAUUAAUAAGUGUAACAUAUAUUUUUAUAAGAUCUAUAUUUAAGCAGAUAUAAACGUUUCUUAUAAUUAAAAAAAAUUUUUUCUUGAUUUAUAGAGGCUCUAAAUCUUAAGAGCUUUUACAAGUACUAUCAUAAUAAGGACUAUACAUGUCAAGAUUUAUGUUCUGUAACUUGCAUCGUAAAAUAUAUUAUACUUUACUUCA
Molecule: long non-coding RNA, 670 nt
Organism: Nylanderia fulva
Lineage: Eukaryota; Metazoa; Arthropoda; Insecta; Hymenoptera; Formicidae
Source: RefSeq, a predicted model, not a curated record